GGGACUCAGUUGGUUAGAGCGUUACAUUGACAUUGUAAAGGUCCGUGGUUCAAAUCCACGUGCGCCCACCA
Molecule: transfer RNA, 71 nt
Filed under: Candidatus Kerfeldbacteria bacterium CG_4_10_14_0_8_um_filter_42_10
Lineage: Bacteria; Candidatus Kerfeldiibacteriota
Description: tRNA-Val
Rfam family: tRNA
About the family: Transfer RNA (tRNA) molecules are approximately 80 nucleotides in length. Their secondary structure includes four short double-helical elements and three loops (D, anti-codon, and T loops).
Source: RNAcentral